UUUGCUUCCAACAUUUAAUCAAAUCUUAUGAACAAAUCUCUCAUAUCUUAUUCUGCGUCAUUUUCGAGUAUAUCAUGAUUCGUGCUUAAUAUAAUAUUUCCUACUGACACCCUCUUAACUUUGAAGCUGCUUUUCGUCCUUGCCGAUGGCGUGUGCUGCUGUUGGUGCGUUUCUAAUGUGGAAAAUAUUAAUUAUAAAAUAAUAAUUGAAUUGUGCUCGGACCAAGACCAGGUCUGGCAGCUUUGCUGAAAGAUAUCCUUCACACGCCAAGAGUUCAUUAGCGAUUGCCGGGGAACGAAACAAAUUGUGCGCAUCUGUUGGAUUUCAUGAAUCGAAAUUAGCUGCUGCGCAGAUUACGAUUUAAUGGAAUCAACAAAUAUGGCUCCAGAGCAGAGCCUUCCUGAUCUGAUUAAAAAUAGUUAAUGGAAACUGGCAGGUGUGCGCCAACUAGCAGGGAAAUUAAUAACGAAUAUUAUUAAUGAAGCUGCAUAAAUUAUGUAAAUUGCCAAUAAAUAUACCAUAUAUGCUAUUUGUACGGGCUACAGUUUUAA
Drosophila mojavensis is the source of this 551-nucleotide long non-coding RNA. RefSeq lists it as uncharacterized. The transcript has 3 exons. Lineage: Eukaryota; Metazoa; Arthropoda; Insecta; Diptera; Drosophilidae. The record is from RefSeq and is a predicted model, not a curated record.